Eriocheir sinensis (Chinese mitten crab) is the source of this 1361-nucleotide long non-coding RNA. RefSeq lists it as uncharacterized. The transcript is spliced from 2 exons. The record is from RefSeq and is a predicted model, not a curated record. NCBI's taxonomy places the organism in Eukaryota, Metazoa, Arthropoda, Malacostraca, Decapoda, Varunidae.
CAACAAAUCCUACGAAGAAAGGCUUUCCACCCUUAACAUGUUCUUUCUUGAGAAACGUUGCCUCCGAGGAAAACUGAUCGAAUGUUUUAAAAUACUUAAUGGUUUCAUGAAUGUAGACAGAUCAACAUUGUUUAUGAUCGAUGACACUUUGCGCACGAGGAACUAUGGCGUAAAACUCAGAUGUAGACAAGUAAAUUCAGACUGCACCAAAUUUUUCUUCACCAACGUUGUAGUGCGAGAAUGGAAUAAGCUUCCACCAUCAGUGGUCCAGUGUAACACGAUUGACUCCUUCAAAAAUAAGCUCGACCGUCACUUCCUUCAACUUAAUAUCAACUAGAGUAGAAAUGCAAUGUUUUGGAGUCUUCUGAUUAAUGUAAAAUCACUUAGGUUUAAGGACAGACCACCAAGUCUGGACCAUGGGGUCUGUGUGGUCUGAUUUUCUAUGUAAAUCUAUGUAAAUCUCUCUCUCUCUCUCUCUCUCUCUCUCUCUCUCUCUCUCUCUCUCUCUCUCUCUCUCUCAAGCUUGACUCUGAAUAAGAAAAAAAGUAAACAAAUUGAAUUAAAUAAAAAAAAUCCCUCUUGUGUCGCUUGUGCUUCCCAACAAACAAACAAACACAAAAAUACAUAAAUAAAAUAAAUAAAGUAAAUCCAUAAAGGUGUUCAUCUUAUUUUUGUUCUUCUUUUAAUAUAAUUUUUUCUCCUUUUUUAUUUGCUAUUUUUUUUCUUUUCAUGAAUUUAUUGCUAUCUCUAUUGUUUACACAGGAAGAAGAAGAAGAAGAAGAAGACACACAGAGAGAGAAGAGGAGGAAGAAGAAGAGGAAGGACUUGUAAUAUGGCAGACAUCAAACCAAUGGGCCCAGCGGUCCAGCCCUGUCAUACGAGAACUAGACGCGUUCAUAGCUUCAUCUCUCUCUCUAUCACUCAGUAUCCAGACUGCUCUACACUGUCCUACAUUAUGCUACAUACUUAAACAUACGGAUAAAAUUAUAAGUAGUUUCUUAACUUAAAGUCUGUAAGUUCUGUAACUUACUGAAAUAUUUGCCAAGGAAUGAGAGAGACGAUGUACACCCUGCCACAGAAUGAUGGUGACUGAGCGAGACGGAGAGUUGACAUCGCUUAUAUUCCAACACAGCUGAGCUGCAUUCAUUUACGUAAUUACGUGGUGUCACUCCAGGCUUAAGAUUAUUUAGAAAAAGUUUUUCAACAACUAUUAUUUUACUGAUAAACUGUAGAAACUUCUAUUAUAUAUAUACAUAUCAUGUUUAUGGUGUGUUUUGCAUAUUAGUAUUCUCUCUCUCUCUCUCUCUCUCUCUCUCUCUCUCUCUCUCUCUCUCUCUCUCUCUCUCUCUCUCUCUCUCUCU